CUUCGGCUGUGUUUUCUUUGGAACAGCAAAAAUUGAACAUGCACUUCUAUACAAUAAUAGCCCAGAACCUAUGAGCUGGGUGGCAGUAAUGCAAAACGAUUGUGUUGGAGAAGAGCUGGGUGCAAAUAUUCGACAAAGAACAGAUUUUGCUUUAAAUAAUGUCCCUUUUCUAAACAAAAUAAAAACUAGAGAUAUUGCCACUAUUUUCUCCUGUGCUUCUAAUGAAGGCAUUUUACUACCUUAUGAAAAGAUUAGAAUUGCAUUUUGCUUCAGCCCAAAGUAAGCAAAAAUUGAUAUCAUUUUCACAUUUAGUGUUAAUGGAAAUUGUAUUAACCACACUUCUACUACAUUGAUUUUAAUAAUAUUAUAAUAAAAAUUGCCAGAGGCACAAAUUUUUUUUUGUUAUGGUUUUAAAUGUG
Molecule: long non-coding RNA, 419 nt
Filed under: Chinchilla lanigera (long-tailed chinchilla)
Lineage: Eukaryota; Metazoa; Chordata; Mammalia; Rodentia; Chinchillidae
Description: lncRNA (ENSCLAG00000023771.1)
Source: RNAcentral